GUAGGUGGCAAGCGUUGUCCGGAGUUAUUGGGGCGUAAAGCGCGCGCAGGCGGUUUUUCAAGUCUGAUGUGAAAGCCCACGGGCUCAACCGUGGAGGGUCAUUGGAAACUGGAGAACUUGAGUACAGAAGAGGAAAGCGGAAUUCCACGUGUAGCGGUGAAAUGCGUAGAGAUGUGGAGGAACACCAGUGGCGAAGGCGGCUUUCUGGUCUGUAACUGACGCUGAGGCGCGAAAGCGUGAGGAGCAAACAGGAUUAGAUACCCUGGUAGUCCACGCCGUAAACGAUGAGUGCUAAGUGUUAGGGGGUUUCCGCCCCUUAGUGCUGCAGCUAACGCAUUAAGCACUCCGCCUGGGGAGUACGGCCGCAAAGGCUG
RNAcentral lists this ribosomal RNA (374 nucleotides) under uncultured organism. Its description in RNAcentral is "partial 16S ribosomal RNA". It matches the Rfam family "Bacterial small subunit ribosomal RNA", at positions 527 to 896 of the family's 1533-position model. The record is from RNAcentral.